RNAcentral lists this long non-coding RNA (304 nucleotides) under Homo sapiens (human). Its description in RNAcentral is "HSALNT0300849". Lineage: Eukaryota; Metazoa; Chordata; Mammalia; Primates; Hominidae. The record is from RNAcentral.
CGUGUGUUUUCCUUUGAGGGCUCUUGGGACUUGUAAAUUCAGUUCAAUUCACCUUCUGAGGAAUGGGCCCUGACAAGCUGAAGUCUGAGUUUCCAGGUGCUGCUGCUGCUGCAGAUCUGGGAACCACACUUUGAGAACCACUGAACAAGACAUUAUGUCAUUGGUCCCUAUUAAAAAAAAGAAAGCCAUCUUCAAAUGAUCUUCACACUGGCAGAGCCAUAAGCUGCGAUGGAACCUAACCUCUGUGCCCCUUCAAUGUGGAACAUGUGGUCAUCAAAGAAGAUGUGGGGCCGGAUCUUCACCA